CCCUUAGACGUCCUGGGCCGCACGCGCGUUACACUGAUGCAUUCAACGAGCUUGCAACCUUGGCCGAGAGGCCUGGGCAAUCUUGUUAACGUGCAUCGUGGUAGGGAUAGAUUAUUGAAAUUAUUAAUCUUGAACGAGGAAUUCCUAGUAAACGCAGAUCAUCAAUCUGCAUUGACUACGUCCCUGCCCUUUGUACACACCCCCCGUCGCACCUACCGAUUGGGUGGUCCGGUGAAGCCUCGGGAUUGUGGUUCUUGCCGCUUUAUUGUGGCGUGACCGCGAGAACUUGUCUAAACCUUGUCACCUAGAGGAAGGUGAAGUCGUAACA
This 328-nucleotide ribosomal RNA is filed under the name uncultured eukaryote. Its description in RNAcentral is "partial 18S ribosomal RNA". It matches the Rfam family "Eukaryotic small subunit ribosomal RNA", at positions 1470 to 1796 of the family's 1831-position model. The record is from RNAcentral.